GGCGCUAUAGUGUAGUGGCUAUCACAACGGAUUCUGACUCUCCAGUUGCCGGCAAUUUUUCCGUUAACCCAGGUUCGAACCCUGGUAGCGCCU
Non-coding RNA from Russula earlei, 93 nucleotides. The record is from the annotation of a GenBank genome assembly. NCBI's taxonomy places the organism in Eukaryota, Fungi, Basidiomycota, Agaricomycetes, Russulales, Russulaceae.